This 487-nucleotide long non-coding RNA is filed under the name Ornithorhynchus anatinus (platypus). RNAcentral describes it as "lncRNA (ENSOANG00000038272.1)". Lineage: Eukaryota; Metazoa; Chordata; Mammalia; Monotremata; Ornithorhynchidae. The record is from RNAcentral.
AUCAUUAAAAUCACCUGGAUGGAAUCAAUUUCUUCUUGGGAAACAUUCCCAUCAAUUCCCUUCACUCCUGUCUUGGUGGAGCCACAUUCAGUAUGCUGGGGGUCACAUUCGUUGGCAAUCAGAGUUCCAACACUUGAACAACCGAAAUACUCCGAUCUAGACCGUGUGAAAGGCAAAAAGUGUGCAACAACCAGGUACCGGGGUUUAAAAUCAACGGGAAGAGCUGUCACUGCUUUGUGUUUAAAAAGGAGUCGGAAGAAAUCCGUAUGGGGAGACGGAAUAAUAAAAGUCAGAUCUGCCGACUGAUCGCCCGGGCUUGUUUCAAGCACCCUGAUUUAGAAAUAAAUGAAGAAUCGGAACCUCUCUCCACAGAGAAGAUGCUAUCCUCAUUAGUCUCGUCGGUGGCUCUCAUCAUUUGUUUUAAAGGCGAUCUUGGUAUUUCACGUGAUGGGACCUUGCCUCUUUAAAAUGAGGUUUUCCUUGACUA